AGAGUUUGAUCCUGGCUCAGGACGAACGCUGGCUGCGUGCCUAACACAUGCAAGUCGAGCGGGGAUUACCGGAUGAAGUUUUCGGAUGGAAUCUGGUAAUUCUAGCGGCGGACGGGUGAGUAACGCGUGAGCAACCUGCCUCUCACGAGGGGAUAACGCAGCGAAAGUUGCACUAAUACCGCAUGAGACCACUACUUCUGACAUGGGAGAGGGGUACAAAGGAGCAAUCCGGU
RNAcentral lists this ribosomal RNA (233 nucleotides) under uncultured bacterium. Its description in RNAcentral is "partial 16S ribosomal RNA". It matches the Rfam family "Bacterial small subunit ribosomal RNA", at positions 8 to 219 of the family's 1533-position model. The record is from RNAcentral.